AAUAGAUACCCCGGUAGUCCACGCCGUAAACGAUGAGUGCUAAGUGUUAGAGGGUUUCCGCCCUUUAGUGCUGCAGCAAACGCAUUAAGCACUCCGCCUGGGGAGUACGGUCGCAAGACUGAAACUCAAAGGAAUUGACGGGGGCCCGCACAAGCGGUGGAGCAUGUGGUUUAAUUCGAAGCAACGCGAAGAACCUUACCAGGUCUUGACAUCCUCUGACACUCCUAGAGAUAGGAAUUUCCCCUUCGGGGGACAGAGUGACAGGUGGUGCAUGGUUGUCGUCAGCUCGUGUCGUGAGAUGUUGGGUUAAGUCCCGCAACGAGCGCAACCCUUGAUCUUAGUUGCCAGCAUUUAGUUGGGCACUCUAAGGUGACUGCCGGUGACAAACCGGAGGAAGGUGGGGAUGACGUCAAAUCAUCAUGCCCCUUAUGACCUGGGCUACACACGUGCUACAAUGGAUGGUACAAAGGGCAGCGAAACCGCGAGGUUAAGCCAAUCCCAUAAAACCAUUCUCAGUUCGGAUUGCAGGCUG
RNAcentral lists this ribosomal RNA (532 nucleotides) under uncultured bacterium. Its description in RNAcentral is "bacterial SSU rRNA". It matches the Rfam family "Bacterial small subunit ribosomal RNA", at positions 777 to 1307 of the family's 1533-position model. The record is from RNAcentral.